Non-coding RNA from Theobroma cacao (cacao), 197 nucleotides. The record is from RefSeq and is a predicted model, not a curated record. Lineage: Eukaryota; Viridiplantae; Streptophyta; Magnoliopsida; Malvales; Malvaceae.
UUUUUGGAAAGAAUUUCAAUUACAAACUACCAAGGUUCCAACGAAGCCCCACUGUCCCAUUUGGACCAUUAGGGAAGUUAGAAUUGACUAAAGGUUUAACCAAAUACCGAUCAAGAGGCAGCCGAUAACUAAGUCGAGGUGCCCUUGUAGACUCGUUUUCUUGGUAGGUAUCUUGGCAUUCAGUAACCGUACGUCAC